Musa acuminata subsp. malaccensis (wild Malaysian banana) is the source of this 811-nucleotide non-coding RNA. Lineage: Eukaryota; Viridiplantae; Streptophyta; Magnoliopsida; Zingiberales; Musaceae. The record is from RefSeq and is a predicted model, not a curated record.
CGCGCUGGCCGCACGAGUCGUCCUCCGCCUCCUCCCUCCUCUUCCUCGCCAUCAAGAUCGUCGCCCCCGCUUCCCUGAAAGUGAUCCAUCAAAAUAUUCAUGGUCCUCCUGUGUGGCUCCUCCAAAUCCUAUGCAAGUAUGUUUUCAUGUGAUCUCUUUCUUGUUAUGUGACUGUAUAAUCUUGCAGUUGAUCGGCACCAAAUCCUAUGCAAGAGUGCUCUAGUUGUAGUGUUGUGGUUGAUGCUUGUUGUUGUAUAUGACAUUUGAGCUCACACGAAGGACCAGAAGUACGUCGAAACUUCUCAUGGAAUCAUGUUGAUAAUAGGAGACAUUAAAGUUUGAGAUAUUCCGGCGUUUCUACUCUCACUCCACCGGUGGUGCAUACAAAUGCGGAACCGAGUUCACAGAAAAGUCUAAUUAGGCUCCUGGUCUCCUUAGCGAUCAAAAUUCGAUGGAUCUGUCAUCCUCAAAUGUGAUCGGGGCACAUUGGGUAUGAACUCCGAUUUAUGUCUUCUAAUUGUGGUGGACACUGUCCCAUGCAAUGUAGAGCCCGCCUGACAUCUAAAAACUCUCUACCAAGAAGAGCAGCAGCAGCAGCCGAACGGUAGAACGGUAGGUAGGUGCAAGGGAGCAUGUUUUGUAAUCUGAUACUCUUGUUGUUGUUUAUGUAAAAUUGAAAUAGCCAAAGGCAAUUUGGCUGCUUUGGCUGUGUGUUAUUACAGCCUCGUUUGCGUUGCGAGAAAUGUAGAAAGAUAAUAAUUUGGUCGAUUCCAAAUACUUUGAACUUUAUGAUUUUGUUAUUAUUGUUUAA